GACGAACGCUGGCGGCGUGCUUAACACAUGCAAGUCGAACGGAAAGGCCCUGCUUUUGUGGGGUGCUCGAGUGGCGAACGGGUGAGUGACACGUGAGUAACCUGCCCUUGACUUUGGGAUAACUUCAGGCAACUGGGGCUAAUACCGGAUAGGAGCUCCUGCUGCAUGGUGGGGGUUGGAAAGUUUCGGCGGUUGGGGAUGGACUCGCGGCUUAUCAGCUUGUUGGUGGGGUAGUGGCUUACCAAGGCUUUGACGGGUAGCCGGCCUGAGAGGGUGACCGGCCACAUUGGGACUGCGAUACGGCCCAGACUCCUACGGGAGGCAGCAGUGGGGAAUAUGGCACAAUGGGCGGAAGCCUGAUGCAGCAACGCCGCGUGCGGGAUGACGGCCUUCGGGUUGUAAACCGCUUUCGCCUGUGACGAAGCGUGAGUGACGGUAAUGGGUAAAGAAGCACCGGCUAACUACGCG
RNAcentral lists this ribosomal RNA (468 nucleotides) under uncultured bacterium. RNAcentral describes it as "partial 16S ribosomal RNA". It matches the Rfam family "Bacterial small subunit ribosomal RNA", at positions 28 to 507 of the family's 1533-position model. The record is from RNAcentral.